UAGUCCUAGCCGUAAACGGUGCACGCUUGCUGUGAGCGGAUUCGACCCCGUUCGCGGCGAAGCUAACGCGUUAAGCGUGCCGCCUGGGGAGUACGGUCGCAAGAUUAAAACUCAAAGAAAUUGACGGGGGCCUGCACAAGCGGUGGAGUAUGUGGCUUAAUUCGAUGCAACGCGAAGAACCUUACCUGGCCUUGACAUGCAUCUCUAAGUCGGUGAAAGCCGGCGAGGUAGCAAUACCAAUUUGCACAGGUGCUGCAUGGCUGUCGUCAGCUCGUGUCGUGAGAUGUUGGGUUAAGUCCCGCAACGAGCGCAACCCUCAUGUUCUGUUGCCACUCGGACGAGAGUUCGAAGCACUCUGAACAGACUGCCCCAUUUAAAUGGGGGAGGAAGGUGGGGGAUGACGUCAAGUCAGUAUGGCCCUUAGGGCCAGGGGCUGGCACACGUACUACAAUGCCCCGGG
Molecule: ribosomal RNA, 460 nt
Filed under: uncultured bacterium
Lineage: Bacteria
Description: bacterial SSU rRNA
Rfam family: Bacterial small subunit ribosomal RNA
Source: RNAcentral